CCUACGGGUGGCAGCAGUGGGGAAUAAUGCGCAAUGGGGGAAACCCUGACGCAGCAACGCCGCGUGAGUGAAGACGUAUCUCGGUAUGUAAAGCUCUAUCAGCGGGGCAGAAGGAAGACGGUACACGACUAAGAAGAACCGGCUAACUACGUGCCAGCAGCCGAGGUAAUAAGUAGGGGGCAAGCGUUAUCCGGAUUUACUGGGCGUAAAGGGAGCGUAGACUGCGUCGCAAGUCUGAAGUGAAAGCCCCUGGCUCAACCGCGGCACCGCUUUGGAAACUGCGUGGCUAGAGUGCUGGAGAGGUAAGCGGAAUUCCUGGUGUAGCGGUGAAAUGCGUAGAUAUCAGGAGGAACACCGGUGGCGAAGGCGGCUUACUGGACAUUGACUGACGUUGAGGCUCGAAAGCGUGGGGAGCGAACAGGAUUAGAUACCCCAGUAGUC
This 441-nucleotide ribosomal RNA is filed under the name uncultured bacterium. RNAcentral describes it as "partial 16S ribosomal RNA". It matches the Rfam family "Bacterial small subunit ribosomal RNA", at positions 338 to 795 of the family's 1533-position model. The record is from RNAcentral.